UAACGCGUGAGUAACCUGCCCUGGAGUGGGGGACNACAGUUGGAAACGACUGCUAAUACCGCAUAAGCCCACGGAUCCGCAUGGAUCUGCGGGAAAAGGAUUUAUUCGCUUCAGGAUGGACUCGCGUCCAAUUAGCUGGUUGGUGAGGUAACGGCCCACCAAGGCGACGAUUGGUAGCCGGACUGAGAGGUUGAACGGCCACAUUGGGACUGAGACACGGCCCAGACUCCUACGGGAGGCAGCAGUGGGGGAUAUUGCACAAUGGGGGAAACCCUGAUGCAGCGACGCCGCGUGGAGGAAGAAGGUUUUCGGAUUGUAAACUCCUGUCGUUAGGGACGAUAAUGACGGUACCUAACAAGAAAGCACCGGCUAACUACGUGCCAGCAGCCGCGGUAAAACGUAGGGUGCAAGCGUUGUCCGGAAUUACUGGGUGUAAAGGGAGCGCAGGCGGACCGGCAAGUUGGAAGUGAAAACUAUGGGCUCAACCCAUAAAUUGCUUUCAAAACUGCUGGCCUUGAGUAGUGCAGAGGUAGGUGGAAUUCCCGGUGUAGCGGUGGAAUGCGUAGAUAUCGGGAGGAACACCAGUGGCGAAGGCGACCUACUGGGCACCAACUGACGCUGAGGCUCGAAAGCAUGGGUAGCAAACAGGAUUAGAUACCCUGGUAGUCCAUGCCGUAAACGAUGAUUACUAGGUG
This 695-nucleotide ribosomal RNA is filed under the name uncultured bacterium. RNAcentral describes it as "bacterial SSU rRNA". It matches the Rfam family "Bacterial small subunit ribosomal RNA", at positions 111 to 822 of the family's 1533-position model. The record is from RNAcentral.